RNAcentral lists this ribosomal RNA (479 nucleotides) under uncultured bacterium. Its description in RNAcentral is "partial 16S ribosomal RNA". It matches the Rfam family "Bacterial small subunit ribosomal RNA", at positions 28 to 507 of the family's 1533-position model. The record is from RNAcentral.
GAUGAACGCUAGCGGGAGGCCUAACACAUGCAAGCCGAGCGGUAUGGGUAGCUUGCUACCCAGAGAGCGGCGUACGGGUGCGUAACACGUGUGCAACCUGCCCCUAUCCGGGGGAUAGCCCUCCGAAAGGAGGAUUAAUACCCCAUAAUAUAUCUGGUGGCAUCACUAGAUAUUGAAAACCCCGGUGGAUAGGGAUGGGCACGCGCAAGAUUAGAUAGUUGGCGGGGUAACGGCCCACCAAGUCGAUGAUCUUUAGGGGUCCUGAGAGGGAGAUCCCCCACACUGGUACUGAGACACGGACCAGACUCCUACGGGAGGCAGCAGUGAGGAAGAUUGGACAAUGGGUGGAAGCCUGAUCCAGCCAUCCCGCGUGAGGGACGACGGCCCUAUGGGUGGUAAACCUCUUUUGUACGGGGACAAACCUAUCUACGUGUAGAUAGCUGAAGGUACCGUACGAAUAAGCACCGGCUAACUCCGUG